Molecule: ribosomal RNA, 433 nt
Filed under: uncultured bacterium
Lineage: Bacteria
Description: partial 16S ribosomal RNA
Rfam family: Bacterial small subunit ribosomal RNA
Source: RNAcentral
AACGAACGCUGGCGGCAUGCCUAACACAUGCAAGUCGAACGAAGACUUCGGACUUAGUGGCGCACGGGUGCGUAACGCGUGGGAAGCUGCCCUUGGGUACGGAAUAACUCAGAGAAAUUUGUGCUAAUACCGUAUCAUGUCUUCGGACCAAAGAUUUAUCGCCCAAGGAUGAGCCCGCGUAAGAUUCGCUAGUUGGUGGGGUAAAAGCCUACCAAGGCGACGAUCUUUAGCUGGUCUGAGAGGCUGAUCAGCCACACUGGGACUGAGACACGGCCCAGACUCCUACGGGAGGCAGCAGUGGUUAAUAUUGGACCAUCGGCGAAGGCCUGAUCCUGCUCUGCCGCUUGAGUGAUGAAGUCCCUAGGGUUGUAAAGCGCUUUUACCUGGGAUGAUAAUGACAGUACCUGGACAAUAAGCCCCGGCUAACUCCGUG